GCUGUUUAUAGGUAAUUGCUCAUGUGAGGUGAACUGUAAUGAGAACAACAUCCCCACUCUAGCAGAGGAAGAAGACCAAAGUGAAACUCCACCUCCCACUGGAAAUCAUUGACUCACCCUCUACCAAAUUCUACUAUUAAAUCUAGGGGAAUAGAAUUGAAAGAUAAUCAUUUUGACCCAUCUAUCUGAAAAGCAUGAAAAAUUUCUCAGGUGUUAACUCAGCUUAUGUGACUACAUUCAAGCUCUGCCUGCCUGCAAGCAUUAGGGCUCUUUCCACUCCCCAUUGAGAGAAUCGCCACUAUCCCACUAUCUUAAGACAAGCCUGAAGAAGUAGGAUCAUGGAGCUCCAAGGAAGACUUCCUCAAGAGUGAGUGUUUGGCAUUAUCAACGUUCAUUGCUAUAGGGCUUAGGAAUUAAUGAGAGGGCUGUAAAGAAUGGGAGGGAGGUAAAACUGAGGAGAUAUUUUGGGGAUAGGGAAUAUUUAUCAUCUGUUGUAGGAGAAAAAAAGAACCCACAAGAGAAAUAUUGCAGAUACAAAAGAGGGGAAAAGUUGGGGAAUGGGAUAGUACACUUAUGCUGAAGCAGGAUUGGAAAAGCAGAGUCUGAAUGAAUUUACUAAAACAUUAGUGGAGCAUUGGAGUUAAGACAGAUGGCUCUCAUUUUAGUAAACUAGGAAGCGUUAUCAGAUUACAUUUGUUUAAUUGCUCAUAUAAUUCAACUGAGUUGACAUAGAAAUUUAUAUACUGGUUCAAGAGAGCUGACUGAACAUUUUGACAGCUUUGUCUUUCCUCCCUACAAGAAUUCUACUGAACUGACAGAAGAAAUGUAAAAAAAUAAUAAAUCCAUAGCAACUACAAAAAGCAGGGAAGGGUGCUAUCAGAAGUGCAGAUUUCUGGGAAAUAUUAAAUAAGUAGGAUAAGACUGAUGGCAUAUCCCAACAAAGUUGAACCUACAUCUCCAUAGAAAUGGAAAAGAUCUUCCAAAACAAAAGGAGCCAAUAAAUAAACCCAAGAGUAAAGGCUAUAA
This 1026-nucleotide long non-coding RNA is filed under the name Canis lupus familiaris (dog). Its description in RNAcentral is "lncRNA (ENSCAFG00845024011.1)". Lineage: Eukaryota; Metazoa; Chordata; Mammalia; Carnivora; Canidae. The record is from RNAcentral.